GAUUAGUGGCGAACGGGUGAGUAACACGUGGGCAAUCUGCCCUUCACUCUGGGACAAGCCCUGGAAACGGGGUCUAAUACCGGAUAAUACUCCUGCCUGCAUGGGUGGGGGUUGAAAGCUCCGGCGGUGAAGGAUGAGCCCGCGGCCUAUCAGCUUGUUGGUGGGGUAAUGGCCUACCAAGGCGACGACGGGUAGCCGGCCUGAGAGGGCGACCGGCCACACUGGGACUGAGACACGGCCCAGACUCCUACGGGAGGCAGCAGUGGGGAAUAUUGCACAAUGGGCGAAAGCCUGAUGCAGCGACGCCGCGUGAGGGAUGACGGCCUUCGGGUUGUAAACCUCUUUCAGCAGGGAAGAAGCGCAAGUGACGGUACCUGCAGAAGAAGCGCCGGCUAACUACGUGCCAGCAGCCGCGGUAAUACGUAGGGCGCAAGCGUUGUCCGGAAUUAUUGGGCGUAAAGAGCUCGUAGGCGGCUUGUCACGUCGGAUGUGAAAGCCCGGGGCUUAACCCCGGGUCUGCAUUCGAUACGGGCUAGCUAGAGUGUGGUAGGGGAGAUCGGAAUUCCUGGUGUAGCGGUGAAAUGCGCAGAUAUCAGGAGGAACACCGGUGGCGAAGGCGGAUCUCUGGGCCAUUACUGACGCUGAGGAGCGAAAGCGUGGGGAGCGAACAGGAUUAGAUAC
This 681-nucleotide ribosomal RNA is filed under the name Kitasatospora albolonga. RNAcentral's name for it is "bacterial SSU rRNA". It matches the Rfam family "Bacterial small subunit ribosomal RNA", at positions 90 to 785 of the family's 1533-position model. The record is from RNAcentral. Lineage: Bacteria; Bacillati; Actinomycetota; Actinomycetes; Kitasatosporales; Streptomycetaceae.